AGAGUUUGAUCCUGGCUCAGGACGAACGCUGGCGGCGUGCCUAACACAUGCAAGUCGAGCGAUGAAGUCCCUUCGGGGAUGGAUUAGCGGCGGACGGGUGAGUAACACGUGGGUAACCUGCCUCAAAGAGGGGGAUAGCCUCCCGAAAGGGAGAUUAAUACCGCAUAACAUUAGCUUUUCGCAUGGAGAGCUAAUUAAAGGAGUAAUCCGCUUUGAGAUGGACCCGCGGCGCAUUAGCUAGUUGGUGAGGUAAAGGCUCACCAAGGCGACGAUGCGUAGCCGACCUGAGAGGGUGAUCGGCCACAUUGGAACUGAGACACGGUCCAGACUCCUACGGGAGGCAGCAGUGGGGAAUAUUGCACAAUGGGCGAAAGCCUGAUGCAGCAACGCCGCGUGAGUGAUGAAGGCCUUCGGGUUGUAAAGCUCUGUCUUUGGGGACGAUAAUGACGGUACCCAAGGAGGAAGCCACGGCUAACUACGUGCCAGCAGCCGCGGUAAUACGUAGGUGGCGAGCGUUGUCCGGAUUUACUGGGCGUAAAGGAUGCGUAGGUGGAUGUUUAAGUCAGAUGUGAAAUACCCGAGCUUAACUUGGGUGCUGCAUUUGAAACUGGAUAUCUAGAGUGCAGGAGAGGUAAGUGGAAUUCCUAGUGUAGCGGUGAAAUGCGUAGAGAUUAGGAAGAACACCAGUGGCGAAGGCGACUUACUGGACUGUAACUGACACUGAGGCAUGAAAGCGUGGGUAGCAAACAGGAUUAGAUACCCUGGUAGUCCACGCCGUAAACGAUGAGUACUAGGUGUAGGGGGGUCCAACCUUCUGUGCCGCAGUUAACACAAUAAGUACUCCGCCUGGGAAGUACGAUCGCAAGAUUAAAACUCAAAGGAAUUGACGG
RNAcentral lists this ribosomal RNA (890 nucleotides) under uncultured bacterium. RNAcentral's name for it is "bacterial SSU rRNA". It matches the Rfam family "Bacterial small subunit ribosomal RNA", at positions 8 to 916 of the family's 1533-position model. The record is from RNAcentral.